Candoia aspera is the source of this 685-nucleotide long non-coding RNA. RefSeq lists it as uncharacterized. The record is from RefSeq and is a predicted model, not a curated record. The transcript is spliced from 3 exons. NCBI's taxonomy places the organism in Eukaryota, Metazoa, Chordata, Lepidosauria, Squamata, Candoiidae.
CGGUAACAAAGGCCUUUGUUUCCAGGCCGUUUUGAUUCAAGUUCGUUCUGUGCCACAAGGCUGUGUCUGGCUCCCUGUCCUGCUGAGGCAUGAACUAUGAAUUCCAAUCCAGAAAUUGCUCUGUCUCUUCAAAUAUCCCUGCUGGUGUUUCACCCUUCCCAAAUAUGGGUCGCAACAUUUUUAUCCCAAGAGUGGGUUGCUAAGGAGGGCCACAGAGGGCCUUGCAUGUGGGCAUCACCCCUGCUCUCCAGAAGGCAGAAGCCCUGCAAAGGAAUCGAGGGAUCUGCUCCCUGCCAUCAAGACCAAAAGCAAAACAUGGUGGAGCCCUUCCCUCAAGGAGGGGCCCAACCAGAAGACCCCGGGCAGAAGGGCCCUGGAAGCGGUCAGGUGGAGAAGUCCUGAUGCAUGUGGGAUGGGCGAUGCCAUCAAGAACGUCAGCUUCUAGCCUCUGGAUUUGGCUACUACCUAUUAACUUGUCUGGGUUUUUUGGUCUUCGGUUGGUCAUUUAAAACUCAAAUCUUUCCCCGAUUGUAUUAAUAUUUCUUUUUUGUGCUCACUGAAUGUCAUCCCUACUACCGCCCCAAAAACCCCAAAGUGUGUGGUGCUAGUUAUAACUCACUUUGCUCUCCUUUGCAGAGCAAAGUUUGAUCUGGACACGAAAUAAAUAAAUUUAACUCACUCAGGG